RNAcentral lists this long non-coding RNA (188 nucleotides) under dengue virus type 2. Its description in RNAcentral is "Dengue virus 2 partial sfRNA1". The record is from RNAcentral. Lineage: Riboviria; Orthornavirae; Kitrinoviricota; Flasuviricetes; Amarillovirales; Flaviviridae.
UAGAAGUCAGGUCGGAUUAAGCCAUAGUACGGAAAAAACUAUGCUACCUGUGAGCCCCGUCCAAGGACGUUAAAAGAAGUCAGGCCAUCAUAAAUGCCAUAGCUCGAGUAAACUAUGCUGCCUGUAGCUCCACCUGAGAAGGUGUAAAAAAUCUGGGAGGCCACAAACCAUGGAAGCUGUACGCAUGG